AAACCUGGGGCUAGUGAGCCCCUCUGAAGUGAAGAUGCAUACAGAAUAAUAUUUUAGUUUGUAGUAUUAUUGGAAUAUUGUCCAAAAUCAGGAGCUGCCAUCCAGGAAUUUAAUAAGCCAUAGCUUUAAGAGAUUCCUGCAACUUGAGAAAAAUGGACAUGCAUACUGGAUCCUCACAGAAAUAGGAUAUAGGGUAGGAUUUGCAAAUAACGUGUGAGGAGAAGAACCUACAGUGGGCACAUGCACAUUGCUGCAGCUCCUGUUAUGCUGAGGAAGAAGCAACCAGGCAGAAAAUGGGGAAAACAAACAAACAAACAAACGUGAUUCAAUUUUGAACAUCAAAUUCCAUUGAUCAUCCCUAAUGACAACACUUGGACNAUCUGGAAGCUAUGAAUCCUCC
RNAcentral lists this long non-coding RNA (400 nucleotides) under Salvator merianae (Argentine black and white tegu). RNAcentral describes it as "lncRNA (ENSSMRG00000009399.1)". Lineage: Eukaryota; Metazoa; Chordata; Lepidosauria; Squamata; Teiidae. The record is from RNAcentral.